UUCAAAAUUGAUUUUUUUUCCAGCGGCAUCUAUUGCUUCUAAGAAAAGCCAUCCCAUUCAAAGGAAAGAAAGCAAGAUAUUUAGACGAAUAACAAACGCUGGGUUCGAAAAAAGAGAAUCUAAAAGUGAAGAUGAAGAAAAUGUCUUAGAAGUACUUCGCCAAAUAGUAAGGAAAUGCACGACAGUGGAUCCUUUUAAGAGACCUUCUUCGAAAGAUGUUCUAGAUUUGGUGGCUAACAUGAAUGAUAAGUCUUGACAAAAAUAUGAAGGGAAAAAAUGUGCCAAUUGUCUUAUAUUUUCUGCAAGACCGUGUCAAGUUACAUAAGCAUUUGAUGAAUAAAAGCAUUUAUCGAAGAGCAACGAUGUGACAUGCAUGAACAUAAACUAAAGAGCGAAAAUGGAGAAGUGCCAACAUUUUUUCUAAAUGACAGUUUGGGAAAGUGUUUUCAAAGAUGCUUUUCUGUAAAAGACACAAGCCUCCCCAGAAACUGUGAAAAUGACUUUUAGUUGGUUUUACCAGCUUUAUGUUCAACUCAUUUACUCUCAGGGAUUCAUUUUGAACUUACAGAAUAUCCAGCUAUUUUUUGCCUUCCAUAUUUCCCUCAUCAGAUCAUCAUUAACGGAUGCAAAUUUAUACUGAUUCAGUAUUAAUCACUCAUACUUUAAUUUAUAUAUUUCUUAAUGCAAUGUAAAAAGUUCAUUAGCCAUGUUAUCUAUUGUAUAUGUUUAAAAACUGUAUUUAUGCUGCCAAUAAAAAAUUCAAUUUUCCUA
Non-coding RNA from Parasteatoda tepidariorum (common house spider), 771 nucleotides. The record is from RefSeq and is a predicted model, not a curated record. NCBI's taxonomy places the organism in Eukaryota, Metazoa, Arthropoda, Arachnida, Araneae, Theridiidae.